CUAACACAUGCAAGUCGAACGGUAGCACAGAGAGCUUGCUCUCGGGUGACGAGUGGCGGACGGGUGAGUAAUGUCUGGGAAACUGCCUGAUGGAGGGGGAUAACUACUGGAAACGGUAGCUAAUACCGCAUAACGUCGCAAGACCAAAGAGGGGGACCUUCGGGCCUCUUGCCAUCAGAUGUGCCCAGAUGGGAUUAGCUAGUAGGUGGGGUAAUGGCUCACCUAGGCGACGAUCCCUAGCUGGUCUGAGAGGAUGACCAGCCACACUGGAACUGAGACACGGUCCAGACUCCUACGGGAGGCAGCAGUGGGGAAUAUUGCACAAUGGGCGCAAGCCUGAUGCAGCCAUGCCGCGUGUAUGAAGAAGGCCUUCGGGUUGUAAAGUACUUUCAGCGGGGAGGAAGGUGUUGUGGUUAAUAACCGCAGCAAUUGACGUUACCCGCAGAAGAAGCACCGGCUAACUCCGUGCCAGCAGCCGCGGUAAUACGGAGGGUGCAAGCGUUAAUCGGAAUUACUGGGCGUAAAGCGCACGCAGGCGGUCUGUCAAGUCGGAUGUGAAAUCCCCGGGCUCAACCUGGGAACUGCAUUCGAAACUGGCAGGCUAGAGUCUUGUAGAGGGG
This 620-nucleotide ribosomal RNA is filed under the name Leclercia adecarboxylata. RNAcentral's name for it is "bacterial SSU rRNA". It matches the Rfam family "Bacterial small subunit ribosomal RNA", at positions 48 to 659 of the family's 1533-position model. Lineage: Bacteria; Pseudomonadati; Pseudomonadota; Gammaproteobacteria; Enterobacterales; Enterobacteriaceae. The record is from RNAcentral.